This 1441-nucleotide ribosomal RNA is filed under the name Escherichia coli. RNAcentral's name for it is "bacterial SSU rRNA". It matches the Rfam family "Bacterial small subunit ribosomal RNA". The record is from RNAcentral. Lineage: Bacteria; Pseudomonadati; Pseudomonadota; Gammaproteobacteria; Enterobacterales; Enterobacteriaceae.
UGAGUAAUGUCUGGGAAACUGCCUGAUGGAGGGGGAUAACUACUGGAAACGGUAGCUAAUACCGCAUAACGUCGCAAGACCAAAGAGGGGGACCUUCGGGCCUCUUGCCAUCGGAUGUGCCCAGAUGGGAUUAGCUUGUUGGUGGGGUAACGGCUCACCAAGGCGACGAUCCCUAGCUGGUCUGAGAGGAUGACCAGCCACACUGGAACUGAGACACGGUCCAGACUCCUACGGGAGGCAGCAGUGGGGAAUAUUGCACAAUGGGCGCAAGCCUGAUGCAGCCAUGCCGCGUGUAUGAAGAAGGCCUUCGGGUUGUAAAGUACUUUCAGCGGGGAGGAAGGGAGUAAAGUUAAUACCUUUGCUCAUUGACGUUACCCGCAGAAGAAGCACCGGCUAACUCCGUGCCAGCAGCCGCGGUAAUACGGAGGGUGCAAGCGUUAAUCGGAAUUACUGGGCGUAAAGCGCACGCAGGCGGUUUGUUAAGUCAGAUGUGAAAUCCCCGGGCUCAACCUGGGAACUGCAUCUGAUACUGGCAAGCUUGAGUCUCGUAGAGGGGGGUAGAAUUCCAGGUGUAGCGGUGAAAUGCGUAGAGAUCUGGAGGAAUACCGGUGGCGAAGGCGGCCCCCUGGACGAAGACUGACGCUCAGGUGCGAAAGCGUGGGGAGCAAACAGGAUUAGAUACCCUGGUAGUCCACGCCGUAAACGAUGUCGACUUGGAGGUUGUGCCCUUGAGGCGUGGCUUCCGGAGCUAACGCGUUAAGUCGACCGCCUGGGGAGUACGGCCGCAAGGUUAAAACUCAAAUGAAUUGACGGGGGCCCGCACAAGCGGUGGAGCAUGUGGUUUAAUUCGAUGCAACGCGAAGAACCUUACCUGGUCUUGACAUCCACGGAAGUUUUCAGAGAUGAGAAUGUGCCUUCGGGAACCGUGAGACAGGUGCUGCAUGGCUGUCGUCAGCUCGUGUUGUGAAAUGUUGGGUUAAGUCCCGCAACGAGCGCAACCCUUAUCCUUUGUUGCCAGCGGUCCGGCCGGGAACUCAAAGGAGACUGCCAGUGAUAAACUGGAGGAAGGUGGGGAUGACGUCAAGUCAUCAUGGCCCUUACGACCAGGGCUACACACGUGCUACAAUGGCGCAUACAAAGAGAAGCGACCUCGCGAGAGCAAGCGGACCUCAUAAAGUGCGUCGUAGUCCGGAUUGGAGUCUGCAACUCGACUCCAUGAAGUCGGAAUCGCUAGUAAUCGUGGAUCAGAAUGCCACGGUGAAUACGUUCCCGGGCCUUGUACACACCGCCCGUCACACCAUGGGAGUGGGUUGCAAAAGAAGUAGGUAGCUUAACCUUCGGGAGGGCGCUUACCACUUUGUGAUUCAUGACUGGGGUGAAGUCGUAACAAGGUAACCGUAGGGGAACCUGCGGUUGGAUCACCUCCUUACCUUAAAGAAGC